RNAcentral lists this non-coding RNA (147 nucleotides) under Haloprofundus marisrubri. RNAcentral's name for it is "partial 16S ribosomal RNA". It matches the Rfam family "Archaeal small subunit ribosomal RNA", at positions 1 to 149 of the family's 1478-position model. The record is from RNAcentral. Lineage: Archaea; Methanobacteriati; Methanobacteriota; Halobacteria; Halobacteriales; Haloferacaceae.
AUUCCGGUUGAUCCUGCCGGAGGUCAUUGCUAUCGGGGUCCGAUUUAGCCAUGCUAGUUGUACGAGCUUAGACUCGUAGCGGAUAGCUCAGUAACACGUGGCCAAACUACCCUACAGAGAACGAUAACCUCGGGAAACUGAGGCUAA